This 440-nucleotide ribosomal RNA is filed under the name uncultured bacterium. Its description in RNAcentral is "partial 16S ribosomal RNA". It matches the Rfam family "Bacterial small subunit ribosomal RNA", at positions 338 to 795 of the family's 1533-position model. The record is from RNAcentral.
CCUACGGGUGGCAGCAGUGGGGAAUAUUGGUCAAUGGGGGAAACCCUGAUCCAGCGACGCCGCGUGGAUGAAGAAGUAUUUCGGUAUGUAAACCCCUAUUAUCAGAGAAGAUAAUGACGGUAUCUGACUAAUAAGCACCGGCUAACUACGUGCCAGCAGCCGCGGUAAUACGGAGGGUGCAAGCGUUAUCCGGAUUUACUGGGCGUAAAGGGCGCGUAGACGGUGUAGCAAGUCAGAUGUGAAAGGCUAUGGCGUAACCACAGGACUGCAUUUGAAACUGUUAAACUAGAGUACAGGAGAGGUAGGUGGAAUUCUUGGUGUAGGGGUAAAAUGCGUAGAUAUGAGGAGGAAUACUCGUGGCGAAGGCGACCUACUAGAACGUAACUGACGCUGAGGCGCGAAAGCGUGGGGAGCAAACAGGAUUAGAUACCCUUGUAGUC